GACGAACGCUGGCGGCGUGCUUAACACAUGCAAGUCGAACGGUGAAGCGCCUUCCUUUUUGGUGGGUGUGGAUGAGUGGCGAACGGGUGAGUAACACGUGAGUAACCUGCCCCCUUCUUCUGGAUAACCGCAUGAAAGUGUGGCUAAUACGGGAUAUUCUGGGUCUGUCGCAUGAUGGGUCUGGGAAAGAUAUUGUUUCGGUGGGGGAUGGGCUCGCGGCCUAUCAGCUUGUUGGUGGGGUGAUGGCCUACCAAGGCGGUGACGGGUAGCCGGCCUGAGAGGGUGGACGGUCACACUGGGACUGAGACACGGCCCAGACUCCUACGGGAGGCAGCAGUGGGGAAUAUUGCACAAUGGGCGCAAGCCUGAUGCAGCGACCCCGCGUGAGGGAUGGAGGCCUUCGGGUUGUGAACCUCUUUCGCCAGUGAAGCAGGCCUGCCUCGUUUGUGGGUGGGUUGACGGUAGCUGGAUAAGAAGCGCCGGCUAACUACGUG
RNAcentral lists this ribosomal RNA (494 nucleotides) under uncultured bacterium. RNAcentral's name for it is "partial 16S ribosomal RNA". It matches the Rfam family "Bacterial small subunit ribosomal RNA", at positions 28 to 507 of the family's 1533-position model. The record is from RNAcentral.